RNAcentral lists this ribosomal RNA (518 nucleotides) under uncultured bacterium. RNAcentral's name for it is "bacterial SSU rRNA". It matches the Rfam family "Bacterial small subunit ribosomal RNA", at positions 29 to 518 of the family's 1533-position model. The record is from RNAcentral.
ACGAACGCUGGCGGCGUGCCUAAUACAUGCAAGUCGAACGGUCUUUCUAUGGAAGCUUGCUCCACUGAGAAGAUAGUGGCGAACGGGUGAGUAACACGUGGGUAACCUGCCCAUAAGAGGGGGAGUAACAUCCGGAAACGGGUGCUAAUACCGCUAUAGGUUUUCUUGAUCGCAUGAUCGGGAAAGGAAAGACGGCCUUUGUGCUGUCGCUUAUGGAUGGACCCGCGGCGUAUUAGUUAGUUGGUGAGGUAACGGCUCACCAAGACGAUGAUACGUAGCCGACCUGAGAGGGUGAUCGGCCACAUUGGGACUGAGACACGGCCCAAACUCCUACGGGAGGCAGCAGUAGGGAAUCUUCCGCAAUGGACGAAAGUCUGACGGAGCAACGCCGCGUGAGUGAAGAAGGUUUUCGGAAUCGUAAAACUCUGUUGUCAGAGAAGAACAAGUUGGAGAGUAACUGCUCCAGCCUUGACGGUAUCUGACCAGAAAGCCACGGCUAGCUACGUGCCAGCAGCUGC